AGAAUACAGGUUGCCUGGUAACUUUGGCCCAAUGGGAGAGCGCGCGGGUAUACAUCACAAGCUUGCCAGUUUAAAUUAUUGAAUCUUAACGUCGAAUCAGCCGACAUUUCUAGAGUUUGAUGCUCGUAGUUUUGGGUUUGUUCUCGUUUUAAACGCCCGAAGAGUUUGCAUUGAUAUUUUUAGGAAUACGUUGUAAUUUACAUUCUCUCACAGACAACCGCACGCUCACAGUAACAAAAGUUUCAGUUAAGGAUAUGCACUAGAGACGAGACACAAGCGAAUAAAUAAAUUUAUAAAAAGUGAAAUCCAACAGUUCUGGCUAGACAAGGAUAAUAUCUGCACACGAAAUGGAAAGUUGGAAUCAGCCGGGUUUUGUUCACUUAAAGUAAACCGAAGUGCGGUCCAUAAACACAACCUGGAUCACACAGAAGAUGGCUUGGUAAAAAAUCCGCUUUUUAUAGCAACCAGGAAAUAUAUCGAAAUUGAAAUUCAAAAUUGGCUCAGGCAUGCGCCGGAUAACUCAAAAGGGACAAAAAUUGCAAUUAACACUUUAAUAUUAUAGUUCGGUUUCGGAUAGAAGAGCAAAUUUCGAUUCAUAGCAAAAAUAAGUUUAGUUUGUAAUACGUAAACGUAUUUUGUUAUUGGUUCAGUAUUUUGUUUCUUUUAAAUUGGUUCCACCCUAAAUUUUCCAAAUUAUAAAGCUGCCUUCAACGUUUUUCGAAAGUUGAAAGUUUGAAAAAUUAUUUUUAGAAAGACAACCUAGCAAUAAUUUGACGGUUGACUAUUAACCUAAGAACGUUUCACAAAUGUCCUCGAAACAACCCGUCUAUAAUCCCAGUGAUGUCCCAAAUGACCUUUACGGGAUCAUCCCAUACAUGACCCGAACAGUCCCAAAAGUAAGUCCCACGUAAAUAUGGGGACGUCCCGGGACUUAAACCUAUAUCCUGUAAUGCCGUC
Molecule: long non-coding RNA, 957 nt
Organism: Dendroctonus ponderosae (mountain pine beetle)
Lineage: Eukaryota; Metazoa; Arthropoda; Insecta; Coleoptera; Curculionidae
Exons: 4
Source: RefSeq, a predicted model, not a curated record